This 331-nucleotide ribosomal RNA is filed under the name uncultured eukaryote. Its description in RNAcentral is "partial 18S ribosomal RNA". It matches the Rfam family "Eukaryotic small subunit ribosomal RNA", at positions 1470 to 1796 of the family's 1831-position model. The record is from RNAcentral.
CCCUUAGAUGUUCUGGGCCGCACGCGCGCUACACUGACGAAGUCAGCGAGCAUGUCCUACGCCGACAGGUGCGGGGAAUCUUGUCAAACUUCGUCGUGAUGGGGAUUGAUUAUUGAAAUUCUUGAUCAUCAACGAGGAAUUCCUAGUAAGCGCAGGUCAGCAGCUUGCGUUGAUUACGUCCCUGCCCUUUGUACACACCGCCCGUCGCUACUACCGAUUGAAUGGUUUAGUGAGAUCUUCGGAUUGGCGCCACUGCGGCUCAGCAAUGGGCUCGGUGGAUGCCGAAAAGUUGAUCAAACUUGAUCAUUUAGAGGAAGUAAAAGUCGUAACA